GGGUUGUGAGGUUAAGCGAAUAAGCGUACACGGUGGAUGCCUAGGCAAUCAGAGGCGAUGAAGGACGUGCUAAUCUGCGAAAAGCGUCGGUAAGGUGAUAUGAACCGCUAUACCCGACGAUAUCCGAAUGGGGAAACCCAGUAUCCAAUGGAUACUAUCAUUAACUGAAUCCAUAGGUUAAUGAGGCGAACCGGGAGAACUGAAACAUCUCAGUACCCCGAGGAAAAGAAAUCAACCGAGAUUCCCCUAGUAGCGGCGAGCGAACGGGGAGCAGCCCAGAGUCUUAAU
This 288-nucleotide ribosomal RNA is filed under the name Proteus mirabilis. RNAcentral describes it as "partial 23S ribosomal RNA". It matches the Rfam family "Bacterial large subunit ribosomal RNA", at positions 1 to 281 of the family's 2925-position model. The record is from RNAcentral. Lineage: Bacteria; Pseudomonadati; Pseudomonadota; Gammaproteobacteria; Enterobacterales; Morganellaceae.